RNA transcript from Colius striatus (speckled mousebird), 6646 nucleotides. It is a transcript of the gene named KIAA0930 ortholog, with no coding region annotated. The record is from RefSeq and is a predicted model, not a curated record. NCBI's taxonomy places the organism in Eukaryota, Metazoa, Chordata, Aves, Coliiformes, Coliidae. The transcript is spliced from 11 exons.
GGCCCAGGAAGCGUCGGAGGGGAGCUGGGCAGCGCAUUUGGAAACGAUUGGGGAGUCUUGGUGGGGGCCAGCUGACGGCGACACCCGGGAAACUUUCUGAGGGGGAGACGCCGAGGAUUGUGCCCGUCGCCAAACCCACAGGCAAGCGGGGCCCGAGACGGUUUCUCGUCGUUGCCACCGGGCGGCCCUUCCCCGGCUCCGCCCGCCGCUGCCGGGAGAACCGUGCGGGCGGCGGGGGCGGCAGCGCCGGGCGCCGCGGCCGCCUCCGCGGGGCGGCCUGACAUGAGAUCAUCGCCGGCGGCGGCAGCGGCAGCAUGGCCUCUGCCAGGAGCGGCGGCCGCGCCGGGCCGAGGGACGAGGAGGCCAACGGCGACCUGGACCGCUCCCUGCAGCAGAUGCUGCGGGCGAUAGCGGAGGAGCGGAGUCGCGCCGGCCUCCGCCAGGAGAUCAGCGGCCUCGGGUGUUUCAAAGAUGACCGUAUUGUAUUCUGGACUUGGAUGUUUUCAACAUAUUUUAUGGAGAAAUGGGCCCCCCGACAAGAUGAUAUGCUGUUCUAUGUCCAUCGGAAACUGUCCUACGUCAGUGGUGAUAGUACAGAGGGGAAAAAGCAGGUUGAAGUUGAAGUGUACCGGAGAGAUUCUAAGAAACUUCCUGGCCUGGGAGACCCUGACAUUGACUGGGAAGAGAGUGUCUACUUGAACCUCAUCCUACAGAAGCUGGAUUAUGUGGUGACAUGUGCUGUAUGCACACGCUCUGAUGGAGGAGAUAUUCACAUUCACAAAAAGAAAUCUCAGCAAGUGUUUGCAUCUCCUAGCAAACACCCAAUGGACAGUAAAGGAGAAGAGUCAAAGAUCAGCUACCCCAACAUAUUCUUCAUGAUUGACAGUUUUGAAGAGGUUUUCAGUGACAUGACUGUGGGAGAAGGGGAAAUGGUCUGUGUAGAGCUGGUGGCCAGUGACAAAAGCAACACUUUCCAAGGCGUGAUUUUUCAGGGGUCCAUCCGCUAUGAAGCACUCAAGAAGGUCUAUGACAACAGGGUGAGUGUUGCAGCUAAGAUGGCUCAAAGAAUGUCUUUUGGCUUUUAUAAAUACAACAACAUGGAAUUUGUCCGAAUGAAGGGACCACAAGGGAAAGGACAUGCAGAGAUGGCAGUGAGUAGAGUUUCUACUGGUGACACUUCACCUUAUGGGACAGAAGAAGAUUCAAAUCCAGAUUCCCCAGUGCAUGAGAGAGUCACAUCUUUCAGCACACCGCCAACCCCGGAACGCAACAAUCGCCCAUCAUUUUUCUCCCCAUCCCUCAAGAGAAAAGUGCCCCGAAAUCGAAUUGCUGAGAUGAAAAAAUCCCACUCUGCAAAUGACAGUGAGGAGUUCUUCAGAGAUGAUGAAGGCGGAGAUCUGCACAACGCGACAAACCUGAGGUCACGAUCCUUAUCUGGAACGGGACGGUCCCUGGUGGGUUCGUGGCUGAAGCUGAACAGAACAGAUGAAAACUUUCUACUCUAUGCACACUUAACUUACAUCACUUUGCCAUUGCAUCGAAUUUUAACAGAUAUCCUAGAAGUGCGGCAGAAACCAAUUCUGAUGACAUAGCAGAGAACGGGCACUGCCUUGGAGCCUUGUUGCCAAGUGCCUAACCACAGCGGUUUUCUGUGCUAACACUACCAUCUAGUGUCAGGAACAUAAACCUCCGCAGGAAAAAGGGAAGUCCGAGAAUACCAGCCGAUCAAAAGUGCCUCUUUCUUCCUUCCUCUGCUGUCAUACACCGUAUGCCCACUUGAAAUACAUCACUUGAGUGUUUCUGAUUGGAAGAGGACUUUCAGCAAGAUAAAACGAGAAGGGGCAAUGUUUAAAAACAAGUCAACGCUUUACGGACGGUUUGUUACUGUGUUUACUUUAUAACUAAGAAACCAACAACAUGUACAGAAUGUGUUAAACUUUAUACUCUUUCAGAGAAACAACCUGAGAAUUUCAUAAUGAUGUACUAAUGAACGUCGUUCCAUAGACUCUCGCCCAUACACUCUUCUUGUUAGUUUGACUUAAUGUGUGUGUGAGAGUGUGUAUGUGUGGGAGGGUAGACUGAAGGGAUGAGAGAACAAUUUCCUAUCAAGAGGGGAAAAGGAAGAAGAUGCUACAAAGAUACAUUGCCAUUUUGGUACUUGCAGCAGGGUCAGAUCACAGCUUAAAAGAGGCUGAAAGUGUUCCCUGUCGUUUGUGUGUCAGUGUUAGGACAGGUGAACUCUGCUGACAGAUUUCCGUAUCUACCAAAGAACAGACACAUUUUCAUCCUCAAGAGCUGGCUAAGAAAGUGAGCCAGUGAAAAGAAGGCUAAAAUGUGCUGCUAUAGUAAAGACGAGGUUCAUAUCCAGUACUAAUGCUGCUUAACUCUGUUAGCUGAGAUGGCACAAGUUUGAGUCUAGAGCAGAAAAAAAAAGGAGGCUGUAAUCAGAGUCCAAAACCUAAGAACCUUAUCAAUAACCAACAUCGUCCUGCAUGCGCUGGACCUCAGAGUAUGCAGAGCCAUCCUUCUGGUAGCGUUUGUAGCCCAGAAGGGCAUGGAAGCUGAUUCCGUGGCUGGGCAGUUUGCCCCAGGUUCUUCAUCUCCUGGUGGUGUUCACUGUGCUGUUACAUGCCAAAGCACAGGGAAUUUUCUUGAAAGGCUAAAGACAGAAAUGGAAUUCUGCUCUGAAAAGUGACUAAAAAUUGCACAGUGGGAGACCUGAAAGUGAUGUGUCGGCAGCUCUCAGGAAAAAAAGCCUAAUGUUUACAGGUAAAAUGCAGCUUUCUCUAACUAGCAAAGCUCUGCUGUCUUUGACAUUUGAAAGCUAAGUGCUUGGAUACUGAGACUACUGCGGCCUGGCUCACGGUCGUGAUCCGGGAGCCAGUCAGCGCUUCAGUCUGCUUCCGACUGCACAACUGACAUGGCAGCGGGAGGGAUGACACGUCACUGAGGGCACACAGGAAUCCAGUACACGCACAGAGGGAGAGCAAAGGGGCCAUUUUUGUCACUUUUCAGACUCUUAGCACCUAAACUUAACACUGUUUCCACAGUUACCGAAUGUCACGUGCUCUGAGCCUGGACCUUUGACUCCCUCAUACCCAGCCUUUUUUCAGAGUGAUUUGUUGUUAUUCUCUCAACGGCAUCUGAUGACUUAACCUCUCAAACAGGACUUUCUACUCUUUUUUUUUCCCCUCAGACCAGGUUCCAUGGGAAUAUCUCCACUUCAGCAUAAAGGUAGAUUAACUUCUGUCAUUCAGCCCAACAUGAUCAAUCCAGCAUGAGCAAUAUUGCUGGGGAAUUCCAUCAAAAGCAGUUCACUAGUCUACAGAGUCUUCAAAGUCAACUUUCAGGUGGAAAUACCGUGCUCAUCAAAGUCAGAAGUAGAGAACGCCUUAAGUCUGCUCCAAGUCUAGAGGCAUCCCAUUGUUCUGAAGGACAAGAAAAUUGGAAGAACCCACUCUUCCAUCUGUACUCAUGACUGGAAGUGUCAGACUAGAUUUUGCUUUGAACAUGAGGUUGAUAAAUGUAGCAUCAAAGAACAAGGAGAGUUACGUGCUCUUUGGUAAGUGCCUCUAUGGUUAACCUACCCAGCACCUAAGGAGAAGCAUAGGUGGUUGUUCACAGUACUCAUUUCUGACUUCAUUGUAAAGGUAAGAAAACACUUAUAAACUGACAAAGUAGUUCCCUUUGGUAUGUGAUUUCGCUUCUAUGUGAGUUUUCCUUGUGUCUGCAGCUGACAGAAUCGUCAUUUGCAGGUAAGAAGAAGAGUGCCUCAAGUGCCCACCAUUUCUGAUAGGGCUCCAAAACUAGCAUUGACUGUAAUUUAGACCAAAAAAAUUGUACUGUAUUGUCUCAUCUAUGAUACAAAGGAGUAAACGAAAGUCAGAGACUCUUUACUCAGUAAAGAGUAAAUUUGCCUGAGCAGGCAAAUUCUGUUCUUGGCUUUGAAGCCUCUGCAGACUUCCAGAGAUGAUCCAUUUCUGUUCUACCUCUCUGUAAAGGUUGUGAUGUUUGUAAUAGUAACACCCACUCAACUGAUUAAUUUGUUUAUAUCAUAGUACUAAUUCAGGAUGCUCAGAUACAAGUAAGAAUUUCUAAAUGAGUACAGUGCCUUUAAAAAAUAUUAGCAGUAUACUACCCUCACAGAAAAUUGGGUAAGCAUAUCAAUGACUCCUUCAGACAAGGUAAAUGCUGCUUCUGCCUCAUCUUAUUCAGCCUUUGGUUCUUGUGUGUUGCUCCUCCUGUGUUUCCUGCAGUGGUCACACGGACACAUGCUGUGACUACUGCAGUAGUUCAGAUUACACACAUCCAGCCAUGAUCAUCUACAGAAAAUCCAGUUUGUUUCUCUUCUCCACUUAAACUUCAGUUGUCUUGUCUGUUUUCUGACCUUCCUGUGAAGCGUUUACCAAACUUUGAGUCUGAACUCAUACACAGCUUCAAAUGUCAUACAUGUGUGUCUUGAGUAACGCACAUGUAAGGGUGCAUUACUCAAAAUUACUUGGCUGGCUGUUGCUCUCCACCUGGUGUUCAGUUUUGUCUCUUGCAGGAGAUUGAUUACAGCAGGUCACCUGUCUAUCAGUGCACCAUUUGGAUCACAAUUAACAUUUCCUUGUGUCAUGGGUUUGUGUGGAGACGCUUUUUGCUUGGUAACGGAGGGAGCUGCAGUGCUGGUCCCAGUAAGCAGUUCUCAAAACGUCCCCCAGCUCUGAGGUAAGCCCACCUCCAGCUUGGCCGGAUCAAUCUGGUGCCUCCACCAUCACUAUUUAAGAGAAAUCUGGGCCAGAAGAGGAGGUGAAGAGUGGGACAAAAUUAAGGCAAUCAUGUGGACCCCAUAGAGAAGGAGAGGAGAAGGAAUUCAGAAAAAGAGCAACAGACCUGAGAUUCCUCUGCAGCCCGUGGUGAGAACACAGCUGUGCCCCUGGAACCCAUUGCAGGGCAAUGGCAGGCCUGAGAGCCACCAGCAGCUCCGGGUGAUUGUGCCCAGACAGGCGAGAGAUUGUGAGGAGGCAGCCAUGGUGCAGGCUGUGCUGGAGAGCCUGCAGGCCCUAGAGACCCACACAGGAGUGGAGAGGAGCUGCAGCCCUCAAGAUGAACACACAUAGGAGCGGCCCAUGCAGGACUGCUGGGUGUGUGAGGGACUCUGUGCUGGAGCAGGGAGGACUGGCGAGGAGCUCAUCUGCCCUGAGGAGAGACAAACAGCAGAAGCCACCAAGAAAGGACUGACCCCCAUUCCCUGCCCCCUGAGCCGUUCAUGGUGGGAGGAGAUAAAGAUACCAGGAUCAGGGCUCUGGGAGCCCAGCAAGAGGGGAGGGGUGGGGAGAUGGUCUUAAAGGGCUGGUUGUGCUCUUGAUCAUCAUCCCACUGUGUUGUUUCCUGUUUGCUAUGUUUUGGGGUUUACAUUUUUGGUUGGUGGGGAAUUAAAUUAAUUUCUGUUUUCUUCCCCAAGCUGAGUAGCCUGGUCUGUUUUGCCUGGGACCGUAAGUGGAGAGUGAGCCCUCCCUGUCUUUAGGAUGUUCCAAAGGCCCUUGCUACUAAUGGCUGAUUGUAGUCCUGUUGCCAGAUGUAGCUGUUGGUGUGUACAGAACCUGUAGCUUAUUCUUGAUGUGUAUUUCAGAUGAAUCAGUUCUAACUUCUGUAUGAUUCAGUUGCUGCAAGUUAUUUUCCUGAUGGAUGAGGAAAGAGGCUGACUUUGAUUAACAUAGACUGUUCUUGGACUGUUGCGUUUUCUUAGUCUGGAUGUUCAGAACUUGCUGUCUUCUGCACUGUUACUUUCACCCUUUCCUGUUGUGCCAGUCUUUGGUGAUUAGCAAAGCAUUAAGCAUUGGAUGUUCUAGAUUGACAAAGCCUGAAACUAGUAGUGAGCUCUUUUAUACUCUUGAGAACUGUUACUUCAUUUUCUUUUCUGUAUGGCUACUGAAAGACAGGGAGAUUCUGUAUGCAGUGCUGGCUUUUUAAGUAGAAGGAAGUGAGAGACGUCCAAAAUAUGGAAUAAUGCCAACAUCCUAAGUGCAUGAAGUUGUGGGUUCGUUGGUUUAAAAGAAAAAAAUGUAGUCCUGGGCAAUUUAGGUGGAAAAGUGGCACUCUGGUGGUAGCAACUGCAUCCUUAAAAAUGGGAACAUAGGUUCAUGUUUUUCUCAAUCAUUUUAUUUCAGAGGUGAUGUCAAGAUAAUGUUUGAUAAUCAUUGUGUCCUCAUGCAAGAAGUUCUUCCCAUGUGUGGGGACAAAGUGGAUAGCUCCAGAACUAUAAAUGGAAUCUAGGUAGAGCUAAGCCGCACAAUAGUAGCCAACAGCAGGAGGCACAGCUGCAUGACAGGUGCCCUCAUCGCCUCAGCAGUUGCUGGUCCAUCGGAAAGAUGACCUACAGUUGUCUUGACAAGCCUGUCUUGAUUUUAUUCUCCUUUUUUUCCCUUCUGUUUGCUAGUCUGUCACCAACCAAUGAAGAGAAGAAUUGGCCUGGCUUUAGGAUAGUGUUUUAAGGCUAUAUCUAAAAAUAAGUUUGGCAAAUCACCAGGCAAACAGAGAUUACUUCUGCUCUUAAAUCUUUUGAUAUUCAAGUGAAAGGACGUUCAGAGGUCAAUCACUGUAGUCGUUCUCUUAACAUGUUAAGAAUUAGUUUUUCCCUCUCUAGGCAAAGGCAGCCCUAGCU